RNAcentral lists this ribosomal RNA (253 nucleotides) under uncultured bacterium. RNAcentral's name for it is "partial 16S ribosomal RNA". It matches the Rfam family "Bacterial small subunit ribosomal RNA", at positions 524 to 776 of the family's 1533-position model. The record is from RNAcentral.
UACAGAGGGGGCCAGCGUUAUUCGGAAUUAUUGGGCGUAAAGGGCGCGUAGGCGGCCUGGCAAGUGGAAGGUGAAAUCCCUCGGCUUAACCGAGGAACUGCCUCCCAAACUGCUUGGCUUGAGACCGGGAGAGGUGAGUGGAAUUCCCAGUGUAGCGGUGAAAUGCGUAGAUAUUGGGAGGAACACCAGUGGCGAAGGCGGCUCACUGGACCGGUACUGACGCUGAUGCGCGAAAGCGUGGGGAGCAAACGGG